UACAGGGGGUGCAAGCGUUAUUCGGAAUCACUGGGCGUAAAGAGCACGUAGGUGGCCCGCUAAGUCAGAUGUGAAAUCCCUGGACCUAAUCCAGGAACUGCAUCUGAUACUGGUGGGCUAGAGUAUAGGAGAGGAAAGCGGAAUUCCAGGUGUAGAGGUGAAAUUCGUAGAUAUCUGGAGGAACAACAGAGGCGAAGGCGGCUUUCUGGACUAUUACUGACACUGAGGUGCGAAAGCGUGGGGAGCAAACAGG
RNAcentral lists this ribosomal RNA (253 nucleotides) under uncultured bacterium. RNAcentral describes it as "partial 16S ribosomal RNA". It matches the Rfam family "Bacterial small subunit ribosomal RNA", at positions 524 to 776 of the family's 1533-position model. The record is from RNAcentral.